Small nucleolar RNA from Arachis duranensis, 80 nucleotides. RefSeq annotates it as small nucleolar RNA snoR53Y. The record is from RefSeq and is a predicted model, not a curated record. The transcript has a single exon. Lineage: Eukaryota; Viridiplantae; Streptophyta; Magnoliopsida; Fabales; Fabaceae.
GUUCCCAAUGAUGCUGAUAUACUUUACCAUGCUAAUGAUAGAUAACAUUUGAUUAUUCCUUUCAUUAUACCGAGGGAACU